CACUGCAUGCAAUAACAUCUUCCCUACCAAACAAUGAGACGACAAAUAAAAUCCUCGCUAAGGUUUGAAGGAAAUUAUCCAGCUUUCUCUGAAGAUAGAGACAGACGGAGAGAACUCAUGAGACUUUGGAUAUGUCAGUGAACUCUAAGGUUCCUCUAUUCUUUCUAAACACUUGGAGUAAGUUCUAGGCAAGACGCGAAUCCCUUAGAGCCUGGGCAAUGCCACUGAAGUCAGUGAAAAGCCUGUCUAAUGACAAAGAAGAGCAAUUCCCUGAUAAGCAAAAACAACUCCAGGGUCUCAGACGUAACACUAACCUAGCCAAUUGGAAGCAGCCAUCAUUUUGACAGCGGGAUGAUGUAGGGUAGGACCGAGAAAACUGACACAUUUAAGUCCACAGCAAAGCAGCGACCUUCAACGAUAGAAGGGGUGCCAUAAGGAGAAGCCCACGACCGCACAAAAUAGGAACAGAGAUGCAUGGAGGCUGGGCAGAGUGUCUUCUCAUGUGUCUGAAGCAGGUGAAAGUAAGCCGGUCCGGUCCAUUCUGGCAUACUGGUGCACAAGCGUCCUUGGAGCUCCACAAUGAUUCAUUUGCAAAAGACUGGACUUAGUCUGAACGUGUAUUUGUCACACAUUUCUUCUGCAGGACAAGACCUCCCUUGAUCUUGGAGCUACAACCAAAUAGUUUUAACUGCAGUAAAACAAAUACUGCAGAAAAGCAUAAAGGAAAAAAUUCCCAUUCUCCUUCUCGAAGUAUAAUGAAAAAAAAUCACAGUGGAUCAUACAUCCCGUGUAAAUGCCCACUUUGCCCUUAGGCAGAGCCUUUC
Molecule: long non-coding RNA, 824 nt
Organism: Mauremys reevesii (Reeves's turtle)
Lineage: Eukaryota; Metazoa; Chordata; Testudines; Geoemydidae
Exons: 4
Source: RefSeq, a predicted model, not a curated record